RNAcentral lists this transfer RNA (64 nucleotides) under Coscineuta sp. OR249. RNAcentral describes it as "tRNA-Gly". The record is from RNAcentral. Lineage: Eukaryota; Metazoa; Arthropoda; Insecta; Orthoptera; Acrididae.
AUUUUUCUAGUAUAAUUAGUACAUUUAACUUCCAAUUAAAAAGUUUGAUAUAUCAAGAAAAAUA